RNAcentral lists this ribosomal RNA (253 nucleotides) under uncultured bacterium. RNAcentral describes it as "partial 16S ribosomal RNA". It matches the Rfam family "Bacterial small subunit ribosomal RNA", at positions 524 to 776 of the family's 1533-position model. The record is from RNAcentral.
UACGUAGGGGGCAAGCGUUGUCCGGAAUCAUUGGGCGUAAAGCGCGUGUAGGCGGUUCGGUAAGUCUGCUGUGAAAGUCCAGGGCUCAACCCUGGGAUGCCGGUGGAUACUGUCGGACUAGAGUACGGAAGAGGCGAGUGGAAAUCCCGGUGUAGCGGUGAAAUGCGCAGAUAUCGGGAGGAACACCAAUUGCGAAGGCAGCUCGCUGGGACGUCACUGACGCUGAGACGCGAAAGCGUGGGGAGCAAACAGG